CCAGACUCCUACGGGAGGCAGCAGUGAGGAAUAUUGGUCAAUGGUCGGGAGACUGAACCAGCCAAGUCGCGUGAGGGAAGAAGGCCCUGCGGGUCGCAGACCUCUUUGGACGGGGAGCAAGGCCGCCGACGUGUCGGCGGAAGGAGAGUACCCGUAGAACAAGCAUCGGCUAACUCCGUGCCAGCAGCCGCGGUAAUACGGAGGAUGCGAGCGUUAUCCGGAUUUAUUGGGUUUAAAGGGUGCGCAGGCGGCCCGGCAAGCCGGCGGUCAAAUCGCGGGGCUCAACCCCGCCCAGCCGUCGGAACUGCCGGGCUAGAGUGGGCGAGAAGUGCGCGGAAUGCGUGGUGUAGCGGUGAAAUGCAUAGAUAUCACGAAGAACUCCGAUUGCGAAGGCAGCUUACCAGUCUGCGACUGACGCUCAGGCACGAAAGUGUGGGUAUCGAACAGGAUUAGAUACCCCCGUAGUG
Molecule: ribosomal RNA, 467 nt
Filed under: uncultured bacterium
Lineage: Bacteria
Description: bacterial SSU rRNA
Rfam family: Bacterial small subunit ribosomal RNA
Source: RNAcentral